UUUUUUUUUAUGUCUAUUCUAAACCUGUAAGUUUUUUAUUUGUUUUCACAUGAAUGUACCUGGUUAUCAAUUUGUUUGUUUUUUCCCUCAUCCUAUUGUACAAAUAUGUAUUGCACUUAGCUAUUUUUUAAAUUUUUUUAAUUAUUAUUAUUUUAUUUUUAUUUUUUUGUGCUUGGAGGGGAACACAUUUUUAAUUAAAAUAAGAAAAAAGUAUUAAAAAAAUCCUGAAAUUCCCAGUGAAUUUAAACACAGGCAAAAGAGCCCUGUCCAUUAUUUUUUAUGUUUCAGCAGUAGCAUUUUUACUUCUCAUGAUGCAGUUUUCCCUCUUAAUGCAUACAAUAAAAACUGCUUUACCCAAAGUGUCUGUUUCUUUACUGAGAUGUUACUAAACAAGAUGCUUGUUUUAAAAUGAGCGUAAAUGUCAAUUAAAGGUUUUUCUAUUUGGCAACUAGAAAAAUGCAUUUAAAAUGUGUUUACUGCUGAAAAAAAUGUUGUG
Pelobates cultripes (western spadefoot toad) is the source of this 496-nucleotide non-coding RNA. The record is from the annotation of a GenBank genome assembly. NCBI's taxonomy places the organism in Eukaryota, Metazoa, Chordata, Amphibia, Anura, Pelobatidae.